This 3194-nucleotide long non-coding RNA is filed under the name Homo sapiens (human). RNAcentral's name for it is "non-protein coding lnc-ULK4-15:1". Lineage: Eukaryota; Metazoa; Chordata; Mammalia; Primates; Hominidae. The record is from RNAcentral.
GAGAGGCCGGCGGCGGGCGUGGAACUGUGGCGCUCUAAGCCCGGCUUUCUCCGGCAGCCGUCGGCAUCGCCUCUGGCUGGAGUGUCACGGACUGAUACAGCCUGGCUCUACCGAGACCUCGCCCUCUAGGCACAAGUGGGCCCCCAGUUCACGGGCUGCGCCUCAGCUGUUGGCCGCCUUGGCCCCGUGGCUCACCUGAAGCCUGGGCCGUGCAGGUGAGGGGAGAAUGGCGCCUGCUUUGUCAUCUCUAAGAGGCCCAAGCCCAGGAUCUUGCUUGGGUCCUCAGCUGGGCAGUCCUCAGGGAAACCAUGGUUUCCACUCGCCGUUUUAGCCCUCUCCCUUCCAAGGACCUAGAUGUGCGUAGAACCUUUUAGGACAGAUUCAUUUAACAACCAAAACACCCGUGGCUACAUACAGUUGCUAGGCAUCCUGUAUACACAGGACAUGUCCUAUAUUAAAUGAUCUUGUCCUGUGUUGACUUUGGGAGGACACCCUAAAUGUCUUAUAUUUAGCUUUUUCCAAUAAAUUACAAAAACUCGUAGUUACAGCUAUUUUUCUGCUCAGUAACUGGCACUUAAAUAAAAUGUUAACACCAGCUGAAAUAUAUAUAUCUCAUACUUCCAUAAAUAAUGAUCUGGACAGACCUUUAUGGUCUGUUCUGUUAGUUGGACUGCAGGAAGAAAAAACAGUGAAGAGGGGAGGCUGCUAAUUAAAAGAACUUACUUUUCAUAUUCAGGAAAGGAAAAGACUGUUUUUUGACCAAAGUCCCAAGUCACUAACAAGUACUUGCCAUUAAUUUACAUAAUUUUAGAUCAGUACACGUACUCUGAAAAUCAACCAGUACACAACAGCCUCACUCCAAGCUUCUGAACAUGAGCCAGUCAGUGAUAAACACUUCCCGAAGCCAGCCAGUGGCAGCUCUACCCAGCUCAUUGGCAAGUACCUCACUACUGUGCCCUUCCUUCUGGACAGGAGCCUUUCUCCAGUAUCAAAGUGGUUGCUAAGAUGGACAGACUUUGUUUUUUUUUUUUUUGCUUGUUUUUUGUUUGUUUGUUUUUUUGAGACGGAGUCUCGCUCUGUCGCCCAGGCUGGAGUGCAAUGGCGCAAUCUCGGCUCACUGCAAGCUCUGCCUUCUGGGUUCACGCCAUUCUCCUUCCUCAGCCUCCCGAGUAGCUGGGACUACAGGCACCCCGCCACCACGCCCAGCUAAUUUUUUGUAUUUUUAGUAGAGACGGGUUUUCACCGUGUUAGCCAGGAUGGUGUCGAUCUCCUGACCUUGUGAUCCGUGCACCUCGGCCUCCCAAAGUGCUGGGGAUUACAGGCGUGAGCCACCGCGCCCGGCCCAGACUUUGUUUUACUUUAAUCACGCUGAUAACUUCUCCUGAACACAGUUCCAGAUACCAGGCUCCUCACCACCAAGCAUUUCCAUGCUAUAAAGGGGAAUUGGUCUCCCACCACUAAAAGAUAAAAAAUGAUCCUGGAUAUCUAGAUAUAUUGCUUUAUUACAGGGGUCCCACUUCUUGGAUUUGUUAUUCCUUUCUUAAGAAUUAGACUGACUUAUGAAGUCCUAUUAUGGAGAGUAUCUUAGGUAUCUACUGCUGCAUAACAAAUCACCCUAAAACCUUAUGGCUGAAAACAAAACACACUUAUUAUCUCUUAAAGUUUCUAUGAAUCAGUGAACAUAGUCAGUCAGUCCUAAAAAGAGAAAAAGGAAAAAAAAAAAAGGUUCUGUGGAUGAGGAAUUCGGGAGUGGCUUGGCUGGAUGGUACUGGCUUGGGAUCUCUCAUGAGGGUCUAGUCAGGUGUCACCUGGGACUGCAGUCACUUGAAAGUUGGACUGAGGCUGGGGAUUUGCCUCAAAGGUAACUCACUCACAUGGUUGGCACAUAGAUGCCAGCUAUUAGUGUGAAACUUCCCUUCCUGCGCCGGGUGCAGUGGCUCAGACCUGUAAUCCCAGCAAUUUGGGAGGCCAAGGCAGGCAGAUCACCUGAGGUCAGGAGUUUGAGGCCACCCUGGCCAACAUGGCGAAACCCUGUCUCUACUAAAAAUACAAAAAUUAGCUGGGCGUGGUGGCGGGCACCUGUAACCCCAGCUACUUGGGAGGCUGAGGUAGGAGAAUCACUUGAACCCAGGAGGCGGAGGUUGCAGUGAGCCAAGAUCCCGCCACUGCACUCCAGCCCAGGAUAUAGAGCAAGACUGUCUCAAAAAAAAAAGAAAAGAAAAGAAAAAGAAGCCUCCCUUCGCACACCGCGUAUCUGUACAUGGCUGAGUAUCCUCACAACACAGGAGCAGACUUCCACUUCCAUCUCAGGUGAGUAACCCAAGAGGUCAAGGCAGAAGUGGCAAUAUCAUUUAUGUCCUAGCUUUGGAAGUCACACUCUGUCAUUUCCUCAAUAUACUAUCAUCACAGGCCAGUCAUGAUUCAGUGUUGGAUACACAAGGGUGUGAAUGCCAGAAUGAGAAUCACUGGGGACCAUUUUGGGAGCUGGCUAAACACAUUUUUUACCUACCACAGAAACAGUCCUUUCUAUAAUCUAUAGUACUUUUAUUGUAACAUUUAUGAAGCACAAUUGUUUUAAAUAGAUGAAUUAGAUUUCCAAGAACAAUAGCAUUAGAACAUAUAUUUAUACACUGCCCCUUCUCUAAGCCUAUCAAAAAGAGUAUCUACCAUGAAUCUAGAGAAAUGGACACACAUAUAUUGGUGUACAUACAUGUACACAUUUUUACACCACAAACUCUAGAGUAUCAGACAGUUAUUACAAUUAGUUCUAAUUUGAAUUAACUAGAGGGAACAAGAUUGGACAUGUAACUCCUCCAUUUGGUAUUAUGGUGCAGAGAGAAGAGAUGAAAGUUUUGGUAGGCAAGACUAAGUGCCUAAAAUCCCCAGGUUGGAACCAUGACAGGAAUCAUGAGCAGUCAGAGGAGAAAAUUGGGACCAUGCUACAAGAGGCCCAUUCUUUUCCAGAACAGCCUCAACAGAAGCAAACUAUAGGCAGUGCUGCCUAGAGGAAGCUAAAGGGCAAAAGUGAACCAAAAGAUAUGGGAAACUUCAGACUUUGCAAUUGUGAGUCGGUUCACCUAACAGCAAAAUUAAACUCUCUGGAGCUGAAUGUCUCUCACCUGAUCAAUGCCAGAGAGAUUAGCUUUCCCUAAAAACACACUAUCCCCACCCACUAGCCACUACAAUAAGGCAAG